Molecule: ribosomal RNA, 426 nt
Filed under: uncultured bacterium
Lineage: Bacteria
Description: partial 16S ribosomal RNA
Rfam family: Bacterial small subunit ribosomal RNA
Source: RNAcentral
GUGAGGAAUUUUCCGCAAUGGGCGAAAGCCUGACGGAGCAAUGCCGCGUGAAGGAUGAAGGCCUAUGGGUUGUAAACUUCUUUUCUCAGAAAAGAAUUAUGACGGUAUCUGAGGAAUAAGCAUCGGCUAACUCUGUGCCAGCAGCCGCGGUAAGACAGAGGAUGCAAGCGUUAUCCGGAAUGAUUGGGCGUAAAGCGUCUGUAGGUUGUUUAAAAAGUAUUCUGUCAAAGAUUAGGGCUUAACCCUAGAUAGGCAGAAUAAACUUUUAAGCUAGAGUUUGGUAGAGGCAGAGGGAAUGCCCGGUGGAGCGGUGAAAUGCGUAGAGAUCGGGAGGAACACCAAAGGCGAAGGCACUCUGCUGGGCCAAUACUAACACUGAGAGACGAAAGCGAGGGGAGCAAAUGGGAUUAGAAACCCUAGUAGUCC